Ascaris suum (pig roundworm) is the source of this 472-nucleotide non-coding RNA. Lineage: Eukaryota; Metazoa; Nematoda; Chromadorea; Rhabditida; Ascarididae. The record is from Rfam.
UGCUGCGGUUAAGAAGCUAGUAAUUGGAUUUGCGCCUCAGGGCCUGGCCGCCCAUUGGGCAAGGACUAGGUUCCUGGGCUAGUUGUGCUGGUUUUCCGUACACAGAGCUAGCAAAUUUAUUUUGGGGAAGUCAGGCUGCCUCACGUGGGCUUAUUUCUGAAUAUUGGUGCAUGGAACAAUAGAAUAGGAUCUCGGUUCUAUUUUGUUGGUUUUCUGAUCUGGGAUAAUGGUUAAAAGGGAUGGACGGAGCAUUCAUGUCGCUACGUGAGAGGUGAAAUUCUUGGACUGCAGCAGGACGUCCGACUCGAAAGCAUUUGUCAAGAAUAUCUACAUUAAUCAAAAACGAAAAUCAGGCUCGAAGGCGAUCAGAUGCCGCCCCAUUUCUGACCAUAAAAGAUACCAACUAGCGUUCCGUCGGCGGUCAAUACGCAUUGCCAGGCAGCUUCCCAGAAACGAAGAUCUUUCGGUUCCG